This 468-nucleotide ribosomal RNA is filed under the name uncultured bacterium. Its description in RNAcentral is "partial 16S ribosomal RNA". It matches the Rfam family "Bacterial small subunit ribosomal RNA", at positions 28 to 507 of the family's 1533-position model. The record is from RNAcentral.
GACGAACGCUGGCGGCGUGCUUAACACAUGCAAGUCGAACGGAAAGGCCCUGCUUUUGUGGGGUGCUCGAGUGGCGAACGGGUGAGUAACACGUGAGUAACCUGCCCUUGUCUUUGGGAUAACUUCACGAAACUGGGGCUAUUACCGGAUAGGAUCUCCUGCUGCGUGGUGGGGGUAGGAAAGUUUCGGCGGUUGGGGAUGGACUCGCGGCUUAUGCGCUUGUUGGUGGGGUAGUGGCUGACCAAGGCUUUGACGGGUAGCCGGCCUGGGAGGGUGGACGGGCACAAGGGGACUGCGGGACGGCCCAGAAGCCUACGGGAGGCAGCGGGGGGGAAUAUUGCACAAUGGGCGGGAGCGUGAUGCGGCAACGCCGGGUGCGGGAUGACGGCCUUCGGGUUAUAAACCGCUUUCGCCUGUGACGAAGCGUGAGUGACGGUAAUGAAUAAAGAAGCACCGGCUAACUACGUG